Molecule: small nuclear RNA, 154 nt
Filed under: Theropithecus gelada (gelada)
Lineage: Eukaryota; Metazoa; Chordata; Mammalia; Primates; Cercopithecidae
Description: U1 spliceosomal RNA (ENSTGEG00000005321.1)
Rfam family: U1 spliceosomal RNA
About the family: U1 is a small nuclear RNA (snRNA) component of the spliceosome (involved in pre-mRNA splicing).
Source: RNAcentral
AUAUUUACCUGGCAGGGGAGACACUAUGAUCACAAAGGUGGUUUUCCCAGGGUUAGGCUCAUAUUCCAGGUGUGCUGACCCCUGCAAUUUCCCCAAAUGCAGGAAAUUCAACUCUAUAAUCGGUGGUUGGGGGAACUGUGUUUGCAAUUUCCCA